GGCUCGUUGGUCUAGGGGUAUGAUUCUCGCUUUGGGUGCGAGUGGUCCCGGGUUCGAAUCCCGGACGAGCCC
Molecule: transfer RNA, 72 nt
Filed under: Octopus bimaculoides (California two-spot octopus)
Lineage: Eukaryota; Metazoa; Mollusca; Cephalopoda; Octopoda; Octopodidae
Description: transfer RNA proline (anticodon UGG)
Rfam family: tRNA
About the family: Transfer RNA (tRNA) molecules are approximately 80 nucleotides in length. Their secondary structure includes four short double-helical elements and three loops (D, anti-codon, and T loops). Further hydrogen bonds mediate the characteristic L-shaped molecular structure. tRNAs have two regions of fundamental functional importance: the anti-codon, which is responsible for specific mRNA codon recognition, and the 3' end, to which the tRNAs corresponding amino acid is attached (by aminoacyl-tRNA synthetases). tRNAs cope with the degeneracy of the genetic code in two manners: having more than one tRNA (with a specific anti-codon) for a particular amino acid; and 'wobble' base-pairing, i.e. permitting non-standard base-pairing at the 3rd anti-codon position.
Source: RNAcentral